CCUACGGGUGGCAGCAGUGAGGAAUAUUGGUCAAUGGACGAGAGUCUGAACCAGCCAAGUAGCGUGAAGGAUGACUGCCCUAUGGGUUGUAAACUUCUUUUAUAUGGGAAUAAAAUGUUCCACGUGUGGGAUUUUGUAUGUACCAUAUGAAUAAGGAUCGGCUAACUCCGUGCCAGCAGCCGCGGUCAUACGGAGGAUCCGAGCGUUAUCCGGAUUUAUUGGGUUUAAAGGGAGCGUAGGUGGAUUGUUAAGUCAGUUGUGAAAGUUUGCGGCUCAACCGUAAAAUUGCAGUUGACACUGGCAGUCUUGAGUACAGUAGAGGUGGGCGGAAUUCGUGGUGUAGCGGUGAAAUGCUUAGAUAUCACGAAGAACUCCGAUUGCGAAGGCAGUUCACUGGACUGCAACUGACACUGAGGCUCGACAGUGUGGGUAUCAAACAGGAUUAGAUACCCGUGUAGUC
RNAcentral lists this ribosomal RNA (460 nucleotides) under uncultured bacterium. RNAcentral's name for it is "partial 16S ribosomal RNA". It matches the Rfam family "Bacterial small subunit ribosomal RNA", at positions 338 to 795 of the family's 1533-position model. The record is from RNAcentral.